GCAGCAGGCGCGAAAACUUUACAAUGCGGGAAACCGUGAUAAGGGAAUCUCGAGUGCCAGCAUAUAAUGUUGGCUGUCCAGAUGCCUAAAAAGCAUCUGUUAGCAAGGGCCGGGCAAGACCGGUGCCAGCCGCCGCGGUAACACCGGCGGCCCGAGUGGUAACCGCUUUUAUUGGGUCUAAAGGGUCUGUAGCCGGCCAGGUAAGUCCCUUGGGAAAUCUGGCAGCUCAACUGUCAGGCUGCUAGGGGAUACUGUUUGGCUUGGGACCGGGAGAGGUGAGAGGUACCUUGGGGGUAGGGGUGAAAUCUUGUGAUCCUCGGGGGACCACCAGUGGCGAAGGCGUCUCACCAGAACGGGUCCGACGGUAAGGGACGAAAGCUAGGGGCACGAACCGGAUUAGAUACCCGGGUAGUCCUAGCCGUAAACGAUGCUCGCUAGGUGUCAGUCACGGUGCGACCGUGAUUGGUGCCGUAGGGAAGCCGUGAAGCGAGCCACCUGGG
RNAcentral lists this ribosomal RNA (500 nucleotides) under uncultured archaeon. RNAcentral's name for it is "bacterial SSU rRNA". It matches the Rfam family "Archaeal small subunit ribosomal RNA", at positions 332 to 832 of the family's 1478-position model. The record is from RNAcentral.